GAUGAACGCUAGCGGCAGGCCUAACACAUGCAAGUCGAGGGGGAAGUUACUUUCGGGUAACUGAGACCGGCGUACGGGUGCGUAACGCGUAUACAAUCUGCCUUUCACUGGGGGAUAGCCCGAAGAAAUUUGGAUUAAUACCCCAUAGUAUAGUAGUGUGGCAUCACACAACUAUUAAAGCUUAGGUGGUGAAAGAUGAGUAUGCGUUCUAUUAGCUAGUUGGAGAGGUAACGGCUCCCCAAGGCUAUGAUAGAUAGGGGUUCUGAGAGGGAUGUCCCCCACACUGGUACUGAGAUACGGACCAGACUCCUACGGGAGGCAGCAGUGAGGAAUAUUGGACAAUGGUCGGAAGACUGAUCCAGCCAUGCCGCGUGCAGGAUGAAGGUCUUAUGGAUUGUAAACUGCUUUUGUAAGGGAAGAAUAAGGACUACGUGUAGUUUGAUGACGGUACCUUAUGAAUAAGCAUCGGCUAACUCCGUG
RNAcentral lists this ribosomal RNA (480 nucleotides) under uncultured bacterium. Its description in RNAcentral is "partial 16S ribosomal RNA". It matches the Rfam family "Bacterial small subunit ribosomal RNA", at positions 28 to 507 of the family's 1533-position model. The record is from RNAcentral.